UGGAAAUAGAUUGGGAAGAGCCAUAUGAUACAAGUAUGUAUCAUUUCAGGGAACACGUGGCUCCAGCAAGAGAGAGUAAGAGCUUGAGUGAAGCUCACAAAACCAGAGCCUAUUGCAGAAGUGGUGCAAGAAGCAGGACAAGUACAUCAACAAGCUCAUAAAGGGUAUGAAGUCUCUGAAGUCCAUAGUUAGCUGCUCUUCUUCCAGCACAGCAGUACCA
Molecule: microRNA precursor, 220 nt
Filed under: Arabidopsis lyrata subsp. lyrata
Lineage: Eukaryota; Viridiplantae; Streptophyta; Magnoliopsida; Brassicales; Brassicaceae
Description: pre miRNA MIR854
Rfam family: MIR854 microRNA precursor family
Source: Rfam by way of RNAcentral